Molecule: ribosomal RNA, 492 nt
Filed under: uncultured bacterium
Lineage: Bacteria
Description: partial 16S ribosomal RNA
Rfam family: Bacterial small subunit ribosomal RNA
Source: RNAcentral
UUGAACGCUGGCGGCAUGCUUUACACCUGCAAGUCGAACGGCAGCGAGGAGAAGCUUGCUUCUCUGUCGGCGAGUGGCGAACGGGUGAGUAUAGCAUCGGAACGUGCCAAGUAGUGGGGGAUAACCAAACGAAAGUUUGGCUAAUACCGCGUAAGCUCUAAGGAGGAAAGUAGGGGACCUAAAUAAGGCCUUACGCUAUUUGAUCGGCCGAUGUCGGAUUAGCUAGUUGGUGGGGUAAUGGCUCACCAAGGCAAUGAUCCGUAGCGGGUCUGAGAGGACGAUCCGCCACACUGGGACUGAGACACGGCCCAGACUCCUACGGGAGGCAGCAGUGGGGAAUUUUGGACAAUGGGGGAAACCCUGAUCCAGCCAUGCCGCGUGUAUGAAGAAGGCCUUAGGGUUGUAAAGUACUUUUGUUAGGGAAGAAAAGCUAGUUUUUAAUAAAAAUUAGUGAUGACGGUACCUAAAGAAUAAGCACCGGCUAACUACGUG